UGAUCCUGGCUCAGAGCGAACGCUAGCGGGUGGCUUAACACAUGCAAGUCGAGCGGGCGUCUUCGGGCGUCAGCGGCGAACGGGUGCGUAACGCGUAGGAACUCUACCUUGGGGUGGGGGAUAACCCGGCGAAAGCCGGGCUAAUACCGCAUAUGGCCUACGGGUCAAAGCAGCAAUGCGCCUUUAGAUGAGCCUGCGUCCCAUUAUUUAAUCCUAGUUGGCGGGGUAAUGGCCCACCAAGGGUACGAUGGGUAGCUGGUCUGAGAGGACGAUCAGCCACACUGGGACUGAGACACGGCCCAGACUCCUACGGGAGGCAGCAGUGGGGAAUAUUGCGCAAUGGGCGAAAGCCUGACGCAGCCAACCCGCGUGUGUGAUGAAGCUCGGUGUAAGCACUGUCGUGAGGGAAGGAA
RNAcentral lists this ribosomal RNA (413 nucleotides) under uncultured bacterium. Its description in RNAcentral is "bacterial SSU rRNA". It matches the Rfam family "Bacterial small subunit ribosomal RNA", at positions 14 to 450 of the family's 1533-position model. The record is from RNAcentral.